Molecule: microRNA, 22 nt
Filed under: Echinops telfairi (small Madagascar hedgehog)
Lineage: Eukaryota; Metazoa; Chordata; Mammalia; Afrosoricida; Tenrecidae
Description: Ete-Mir-544_5p (mature (guide))
Source: RNAcentral
CUUGUUAAAAUGCAGAUUCUGA